GGUUAAGUGGACUAAGCGUACACGGUGGAUGCCUUGGCAGUCAGAGGCGAUGAAAGACGUAGUAACUUGCGAUAAGCCCAGAUUAGGUAGUAACAACCAUUUGAGUCUGGGAUUUCUGAAUGGGGAAACCCACGUGCAUAAGCACGUAUCCUUACCUGAAUACAUAGGGUAAGGAGGCGAACCGGGGGAACUGAAACAUCUAAGUACCCCGAGGAAAAGAAAUCAACCGAGAUUCCGAAAGUAGCGGCGAGCGAAAUUGGACUAGCCCUUAAGCUUUACACGCGUUAGACGAACGGUCUGGAAAGUCCCGACGAUACAGGGUGAUAGUCCCGUAGUUGACGACGUGUGUUCAGUGAAAUCGAGUAGGGCGGGACACGUGAUAUCCUGUCUGAAUAUGGGGGGACCAUCCUCCAAGGCUAAAUACUACUGACUGACCGAUAGUGAACCAGUACCGUGAGGGAAAGGCCGAAAAGAACCCCUGUGAGGGGAGUGAAAUAGAACCUGAAACCGUGUACGUACAAGCAAGUAGGAGCAGGCUUUGUCCUGUGACUGCGUACCUUUUGUAUAAUGGGUCAGCGACUUAUAUUCAGUGGCAAGGUUAACCAUCUAGGGGAGCCGUAGGAAACCGAGUCUUAACUGGGCGUUCAGUCUCUGGAUAUAGACCCGAAACCCAGGUGAUCUAGCCAUGGGCCAGGUUGAAGGUUUGAGUAACAUCAACUGGAGGACCGAACCGACUAAUGUUGAAAAAUUAGCGGAUGAACUUGUGGCUAGGGGUGAAAGGCCAAUCAAACCUGGAGAUAGCUGGUCUCCCCGAAAGCUAUUUAGGUAGCGCCUCGGACGAAUACUACUGGGGGUAGAGCACUGGUUAAGGCUAGGGGGUCAUCCCGACUUACCAACCCUUUGCAAACUCCGAAUACCAGUAAGUACUAUCCGGGAGACACACGGCGGGUGCUAACGUCCGUCGUGGAGAGGGAAACAACCCAGACCGCCAGCUAAGGGUCCCAAAUUACUACUAGUGGGGAAACGAUGUGGGAAGGCUCAGACAGCCAGGAUGUUGGCUUAGAAGCAGCCAUCAUUUAAAGAAAGCGUAAUAGCUCACUGGUCGAGUCGGCCUGCGCGGAAGAUGUAACGGGGCUAAGUAGUAAACCGAAGCUGCGGCAAUACCCUUUGAGUAUUGGGUAGGGGAGCCGUUCGGUAGCGGUGAAAGGUGGGUGUGGUAACGCAAUGCUGGACGUAUCAGAAGUGCGAAUGCUGACAUGAGUAACGAUAAAGGGGGUGAAAAACCUCCUCGCCGGAGACCAAGGGGUUCCUGUCCAACGUUAAUCGGGGCAGGGUAAGUCGACCCCUAAGGCGAGGCCGAAAGGCGUAGUCGAUGGGAAACGGGGUUAAUAUUCCCGUACUUCUUACAAUUGCGAUGGGGGGACGGAGAAGGCUAGGUGGGCCUGGCGACGGUUGUCCAGGUUCAAGUGCGUAGGCUUAAGAGUUAGGUAAAUCCGGCUCUUUUUAAGGCUGAGACACGACGUCGAGCACCUACGGGUGUGAAGUCAUUGAUGCCAUGCUUCCAGGAAAAGCCUCUAAGCUUCAGAUUGUAAGGAAUCGUACCCCAAACCGACACAGGUGGUCGGGUAGAGAAUACCAAGGCGCUUGAGAGAACUCGGGUGAAGGAACUAGGCAAAAUGGUACCGUAACUUCGGGAGAAGGUACGCUCUCUGACGGGUGAAGUCCCUUGCGGAUGGAGCUAAUGAGAGUCGCAGAUACCAGGUGGUGGCUGCAACUGUUUAUUAAAAACACAGCACUGUGCAAAAUCGUAAGAUGACGUAUACGGUGUGACGCCUGCCCGGUGCCGGAAGGUUAAUUGAUGGGGUUAGACUUCGGUCGAAGCUCUUGAUCGAAGCCCCGGUAAACGGCGGCCGUAACUAUAACGGUCCUAAGGUAGCGAAAUUCCUUGUCGGGUAAGUUCCGACCUGCACGAAUGGCGUAAUGAUGGCCACGCUGUCUCCACCCGAGACUCAGUGAAAUUGAAAUCGCUGUGAAGAUGCAGUGUACCCGCGGCUAGACGGAAAGACCCCGUGAACCUUUACUACAGCUUGGCACUGAACAUUGACCCUACAUGUGUAGGAUAGGUGGGAGGCUUUGAAGCACGUACGCCAGUAUGUGUGGAGCCGUCCUUGAAAUACCACCCUUGUAGUGUUGAUGUUCUAACGUCGACCCCUUAUCGGGGUUGCGGACAGUGCCUGGUGGGUAGUUUGACUGGGGCGGUCUCCUCCCAAAGAGUAACGGAGGAGCACGAAGGUGGGCUAAUCACGGUUGGACAUCGUGAGGUUAGUGCAAUGGCAUAAGCCCGCUUGACUGCGAGAAUGACAAUUCGAGCAGGUGCGAAAGCAGGUCAUAGUGAUCCGGUGGUUCUGAAUGGAAGGGCCAUCGCUCAACGGAUAAAAGGUACUCCGGGGAUAACAGGCUGAUACCGCCCAAGAGUUCAUAUCGACGGCGGUGUUUGGCACCUCGAUGUCGGCUCAUCACAUCCUGGGGCUGAAGUCGGUCCCAAGGGUAUGGCUGUUCGCCAUUUAAAGUGGUACGCGAGCUGGGUUUAGAACGUCGUGAGACAGUUCGGUCCCUAUCUGCCGUGGGCGUUGGAAGAUUGAAGGGGGGCUGCUCCUAGUACGAGAGGACCGGAGUGGACGAACCUCUGGUGUUCGGUUGUGUCGCCAGACGCAUUGCCCGGUAGCUAAGUUCGGAAUCGAUAACCGCUGAAAGCAUCUAAGCGGGAAGCGAGCCCUGAGAUGAGUCUUCCCUGAUACUUUAAGUAUCCUAAAGGGUUGUCGGAGACUACGACGUUGAUAGGUCAGGUGUGUAAGUGCUGUGAGGCAUUGAGCUAACUGAUACUAAUUGCCCGUGAGGCUUAACCAUACAACACCCAAGGGGUUUUGAUGGACUCGAAGCAAGAACAGAAUUGAAUGUGUAGAGAACACAGAAACAGCUUUCCGAAUUAAAGAAUUUGCUUGGCGACCAUAGCGUUUUGGACCCACCUGACUCCAUUCCGAACUCAGAAGUGAAACGAAAUAGCGCCGAUGGUAGUGUGGGGCUUCCCCAUGUGAGAGUAGGACAUCGCCAGGCUUUAAUUUGCACUUGCUUAAGAUUUAAGCAAGUCACCAUAAGGUUCUAAUCUUUUUUAGAAUUUUAUGUUGACUUUCAAAGUGGAAAGCGUAUUAUACGCACCUCGCUUGAGUGCUAAGGCACUGAAAGCCAAGCUCUUUAACAAUAUAGACCUAUCAAUCUGUGUGGGCACUCGUUGAUGAUAAUCCAAUUCGAUACUUCGGUAUCAAAUUAGGUUUCAAUGAAACGAAGUGACCAUUGAAUCUUCGGAUUCAGCACAGUCAAUUCAAACAUUACUUUAUGUAGUGUUCAGUAUUCAUUGAGCCGAACAAAAUCUUAAAUUGAAGAGUUUGAUCAUGGCUCAGAUUGAACGCUGGCGGCAGGCCUAACACAUGCAAGUCGAGCGGAAACGAGUUAUCUGAACCUUCGGGGACGAUAACGGCGUCGAGCGGCGGACGGGUGAGUAAUGCCUAGGAAAUUGCCCUGAUGUGGGGGAUAACCAUUGGAAACGAUGGCUAAUACCGCAUGAUGCCUACGGGCCAAAAGAGGGGGACCUUCGGGCCUCUCGCGUCAGGAUAUGCCUAGGUGGGAUUAGCUAGUUGGUGAGGUAAGGGCUCACCAAGGCGACGAUCCCUAGCUGGUCUGAGAGGAUGAUCAGCCACACUGGAACUGAGACACGGUCCAGACUCCUACGGGAGGCAGCAGUGGGGAAUAUUGCACAAUGGGCGCAAGCCUGAUGCAGCCAUGCCGCGUGUGUGAAGAAGGCCUUCGGGUUGUAAAGCACUUUCAGUCGUGAGGAAGGUAGUGUAGUUAAUAGCUGCAUUAUUUGACGUUAGCGACAGAAGAAGCACCGGCUAACUCCGUGCCAGCAGCCGCGGUAAUACGGAGGGUGCGAGCGUUAAUCGGAAUUACUGGGGCGUAAAGCGCAUGCAGGUGGUUUGUUAAGUCAGAUGUGAAAGCCCGGGGCUCAACCUCGGAAUUGCAUUUGAAACUGGCAGACUAGAGUACUGUAAGAGGGGGUAGAAUUUCAGGUGUAGCGGUGAAAUGCGUAGAGAUCUGAAGGAAUACCGGUGGCGAAGGCGGCCCCCUGGACAGAUACUGACACUCAGAUGCGAAAGCGUGGGGAGCAAAACAGGAUUAGAUACCCUGGUAGUCCACGCCGUAAACGAUGUCUACUUGGAGGUUGUGGCCUUGAGCCGUGGCUUUCGGAGCUAACGCGUUAAGUAGACCGCCUGGGGAGUACGGUCGCAAGAUUAAAACUACGAACCUCUGGUGUUCGGGUUGUGUCGCCAGACGCAUUGCCCGGUAGCUAAGUUCGGAAUCGAUAACCGCUGAAAGCAUCUAAGCGGGAAGCGAGCCCUGAGAUGAGUCUUCCCCUGAUACUUUAAGUAUCCUAAAGGGUUGUCGGAGACUACGACGUUGAUAGGUCAGGGUGUGUAAGUGCUGUGAGGCAUUGAGCUAACUGAUACUAAUUGCCCGUGAGGCUUAACCAU
RNAcentral lists this ribosomal RNA (4586 nucleotides) under Vibrio parahaemolyticus UCM-V493. The record is from RNAcentral. Lineage: Bacteria; Pseudomonadati; Pseudomonadota; Gammaproteobacteria; Vibrionales; Vibrionaceae.